This 342-nucleotide non-coding RNA is filed under the name Parastagonospora nodorum SN15. RNAcentral's name for it is "Phaeosphaeria nodorum SN15 Eukaryotic large subunit ribosomal RNA". It matches the Rfam family "Eukaryotic large subunit ribosomal RNA", at positions 1 to 328 of the family's 3401-position model. The record is from Rfam by way of RNAcentral. Lineage: Eukaryota; Fungi; Ascomycota; Dothideomycetes; Pleosporales; Phaeosphaeriaceae.
UGACCUCGGAUCAGGUAGGGAUACCCGCUGAACUUAAGCAUAUCAAUAAGCGGAGGAAAAGAAACCAACAGGGAUUGCCCUAGUAACGGCGAGUGAAGCGGCAACAGCUCAAAUUUGAAAUCUGGCUCUUUCAGAGUCCGAGUUGUAAUUUGCAGAGGGCGCUUUGGCGUUGGCAGCGGUCCAAGUUCUUUGGAACAGGACGUCACAGAGGGUGAGAAUCCCGUACGUGGUCGCUCACGCCUUCGCCGUGUAACACGCCCCUCUACGACGAGUCGAGUUGUUUGGGAAUGCAGCUGUAAACUGGGCACCGCGUGAAAUUUCUUCUAAAGCUAAAUACUGGCA